CAGGAAUUGUAGAAGGGGUUCCAGGAUUCGCAUGCCGAAUGGGCUUGCCGCCUGAGCAAGGCAGCCCAAAGCUGGCUGCCGUCCCAACAGGCAAAGACACUGGAGAUCAUCUUCUAGCUGUUAUAACAUUUCUAUAACGGACUGCACUCCGAGAUACAAGACUGGCCCAGAAGGCCAAUGAAUAUACUGAUACGCAGCGGCCCCAACGGCUGACAACCCCUCCAACCCACGUGCGCCUGGCACCCCAGUUUACUUCGCUCCCAGCCUCCCACUCCUGAGGGUCCCU
This is a non-coding RNA of Pelobates cultripes (western spadefoot toad), 286 nucleotides long. The record is from the annotation of a GenBank genome assembly. Lineage: Eukaryota; Metazoa; Chordata; Amphibia; Anura; Pelobatidae.